GGAGAAUUAGCUCAGCUGGGAGAGCAUCUGCCUUACAAGCAGAGGGUCGGCGGUUCGAAUCUGCCCCCCUCCACCA
This 76-nucleotide transfer RNA is filed under the name Staphylococcus aureus. RNAcentral's name for it is "tRNA-Val". It matches the Rfam family "tRNA". From Rfam's summary of the family: Transfer RNA (tRNA) molecules are approximately 80 nucleotides in length. Their secondary structure includes four short double-helical elements and three loops (D, anti-codon, and T loops). Lineage: Bacteria; Bacillati; Bacillota; Bacilli; Caryophanales; Staphylococcaceae. The record is from RNAcentral.